GGAUAGCACGGGGAAACUCGUAUUAAUACCGCAUACGACCUACGGGAGAAAGGGGGCAGUUUACUGCUCUCGCUAUUAGAUGAGCCUAAGUCGGAUUAGCUAGAUGGUGGGGUAAAGGCCUACCAUGGCGACGAUCUGUAGCUGGUCUGAGAGGAUGAUCAGCCACACCGGGACUGAGACACGGCCCGGACUCCUACGGGAGGCAGCAGUGGGGAAUAUUGGACAAUGGGGGAAACCCUGAUCCAGCCAUGCCGCGUGUGUGAAGAAGGCCUUUUGGUUGUAAAGCACUUUAAGCAGUGAAGAAGACUCCGUGGUUAAUACCCACGGACGAUGACAUUAGCUGCAGAAUAAGCACCGGCUAACUCUGUGCCAGCAGCCGCGGUAAUACAGAGGGUGCAAGCGUUAAUCGGAAUUACUGGGCGUAAAGGGAGCGUAGGUGGCUCUAUAAGUCAGAUGUGAAAUCCCCGGGCUCAACCUGGGAACUGCAUCUGAAACUGUAGAGCUAGAGUAUGUGAGAGGAAGGUAGAAUUCCAGGUGUAGCGGUGAAAUGCGUAGAGAUCUGGAGGAAUACCGAUGGCGAAGGCAGCCUUCUGGCAUAAUACUGACACUGAGGCUCGAAAGCGUGGGUAGCAAACAGGAUUAGAUACCCUGGUAGUCCACGCCGUAAACGAUGUCUACUAGUCGUUGCGUCCCUUGAGGACUUAGUGACGCAGCUAACGCAAUAAGUAGACCGCCUGGGGAGUACGGCCGCAAGGUUAAAACUCAAAUGAAUUGACGGGGGCCCGCACAAGCGGUGGAGCAUGUGGUUUAAUUCGAUGCAACG
Molecule: ribosomal RNA, 823 nt
Filed under: Psychrobacter fjordensis
Lineage: Bacteria; Pseudomonadati; Pseudomonadota; Gammaproteobacteria; Moraxellales; Moraxellaceae
Description: bacterial SSU rRNA
Rfam family: Bacterial small subunit ribosomal RNA
Source: RNAcentral